Molecule: ribosomal RNA, 233 nt
Filed under: uncultured Actinomycetales bacterium
Lineage: Bacteria; Bacillati; Actinomycetota; Actinomycetes; Actinomycetales
Description: partial 16S ribosomal RNA
Rfam family: Bacterial small subunit ribosomal RNA
Source: RNAcentral
GGCGAACGGGUGAGCAACACGUGGGUGAUCUGCCCUGCACUUCGGGAUAAGCUUGGGAAACUGGGUCUAAUACCGGAUAGGAGCCAUCUUUAGUGUGGUGGUUGGAAAGUUUUUCGGUGUAGGAUGAGCUCGCGGCCUAUCAGCUUGUUGGUGGGGUAAUGGCCUACCAAGGCGGCGACGGGUAGCCGGACUGAGAGGUUGGUCGGCCACAUUGGGACUGAGAUACGGCCCAG